This 73-nucleotide transfer RNA is filed under the name Candidatus Melainabacteria bacterium GWA2_34_9. RNAcentral describes it as "tRNA-Thr". It matches the Rfam family "tRNA". Rfam says of the family: Transfer RNA (tRNA) molecules are approximately 80 nucleotides in length. Their secondary structure includes four short double-helical elements and three loops (D, anti-codon, and T loops). Lineage: Bacteria; Bacillati; Candidatus Melainabacteria. The record is from RNAcentral.
GCCGGUAUAGCUCAGGUGGUAGAGCAUCUCAUUCGUAAUGAGAGGGUCGCAGGUUCGAAUCCUGUUACCGGCU